RNAcentral lists this ribosomal RNA (431 nucleotides) under uncultured bacterium. RNAcentral's name for it is "partial 16S ribosomal RNA". It matches the Rfam family "Bacterial small subunit ribosomal RNA", at positions 29 to 507 of the family's 1533-position model. The record is from RNAcentral.
AACGAACGCUGGCGGCAGGCUUAACACAUGCAAGUCGAACGCCCCGCAAGGGGAGUGGCAGACGGGUGAGUAACGCGUGGGAACAUACCCUUUUCUACGGAAUAGCUCUGGGAAACUGGAAUUAAUACCGUAUACGCCCUACGGGGGAAAGAUUUAUCGGGGAAGGAUUGGCCCGCGUUGGAUUAGCUAGUUGGUGGGGUAAAGGCCUACCAAGGCGGCGAUCCAUAGCUGGUCUGAGAGGAUGAUCAGCCACAUUGGGACUGAGACACGGCCCAAACUCCUACGGGAGGCAGCAGUGGGGAAUAUUGGACAAUGGGCGCAAGCCUGAUCCAGCCAUGCCGCGUGAGUGAUGAAGGCCUUAGGGUUGUAAAGCUCUUUCACCGAUGAAGAUAAUGACGGUAGUCGGAGAAGAAGCCCCGGCUAACUUCGUG